This 497-nucleotide ribosomal RNA is filed under the name uncultured bacterium. RNAcentral's name for it is "partial 16S ribosomal RNA". It matches the Rfam family "Bacterial small subunit ribosomal RNA", at positions 28 to 507 of the family's 1533-position model. The record is from RNAcentral.
GAUGAACGCUGGCGGCGUGCCUAAUACAUGCAAGUCGAGCGAACGGACGAGAGGCUUGCUUUUCUGAUGUUAGCGGCGGACGGGUGAGUAACACGUGGAUAACCUACCUAUAAGACUGGGAUAACUUCGGGAAACCGGAGCUAAUAUCGGAUAAUAUUUUGAACCGCAUGGUUCAAAAGUGAAAGACGGUCUUGCUGUCACUUAUAGAUGGAUCCGCGCUGCAUUAGCUAGUUGGUAAGGUAACGGCUUACCAAGGCAACGAUGCAUAGCCGACCUGAGAGGGUGAUCGGCCACACUGGAACUGAGACACGGUCCAGACUCCUACGGGAGGCAGCAGUAGGGAAUCUUCCGCAAUGGGCGAAAGCCUGACGGAGCAACGCCGCGUGAGUGAUGAAGGUCUUCGGAUCGUAAAACUCUGUUAUUAGGGAAGAACAUAUGUGUAAGUAACUGUGCACAUCUUGACGGUACCUAAUCAGAAAGCCACGGCUAACUACGUG